AUACGGAGGGGGUUAGCGUUGUUCGGAAUUACUGGGCGUAAAGCGCACGUAGGCGGACUGGAAAGUUGGGGGUGAAAUCCCGGGGCUCAACCCCGGAACUGCCUCCAAAACUUCCAAUCUAGAGAUCGAGAGAGGUGAGUGGAAUUCCAAGUGUAGAGGUGAAAUUCGUAGAUAUUUGGAGAAACACCAGUGGCGAAGGCGGCUCACUGGCUCGAUACUGACGCUGAGGUGCGAAAGCGGGGGGAGCAAACAGGAUUAGAAACCCUAGUAGUCC
RNAcentral lists this ribosomal RNA (274 nucleotides) under uncultured bacterium. Its description in RNAcentral is "partial 16S ribosomal RNA". It matches the Rfam family "Bacterial small subunit ribosomal RNA", at positions 523 to 796 of the family's 1533-position model. The record is from RNAcentral.